Molecule: long non-coding RNA, 1743 nt
Organism: Hemiscyllium ocellatum (epaulette shark)
Lineage: Eukaryota; Metazoa; Chordata; Chondrichthyes; Orectolobiformes; Hemiscylliidae
Exons: 9
Source: RefSeq, a predicted model, not a curated record
CUUUGUUCUAGACAGAGAAGCUUGGAAGAGAUCAGAGAGAAUUAACCCUCAGACACGCAGCACUUCGGAGAUUAUCGAUGGGCUGGCAGUAUUGGGAUGCAGGUAAUGGCCAUUCCCUGUGCCUUUAGGGAAGAGUUCACCAGAAUAUACCAAGAUGGAGAAUUAAUGUGGAUUAUUACAACUUCUAAGAGCCAAAUAUCAAUGGAUUUAUGUUCUCUACCUGUACAGUUGUAGACUCGCAAGCUGAUGGAGGAGUUUGGAGAUAUUAUUAUGAAGGGUUCAUCAUUUAAAUCUUGGGAACAACAGUUAAUUCAUGUGAGGACAAACAAAGGAUAUAAGCUAAAUUGAUCUCUAUGGAAUUUAAUUUUACAAAUUGGAUUGCUUGUGAAGAUGAUGGCAUUUGGAUAAUUCUACUAUCAAGAUUCAGAAUGAAUUCCAGCUUGCCCUCUCUAAAUUUGCACCAACGUGAAACCAACUCUAGAGAAGCAACAAAGUACCGUACAGAAUCUCCCAGUUUAACUAUUGUUCCUGUUUGGGUUUGAUCAGCAAUGGUGGAACCUCAUGAUCUUGGAUCAAACGGAAAAUGGCUGAUCCCCAGCAAAAACCCUUCAAACAAGUAAAGCAGAUAAUCAGCAGGAUAGCUGUUCAAACAAACUCGGGAUCUCACCAACUUCAGUGAGUCAACAGUCAAGAUGGAGAAACUUCACAAACCAAACCACGAGAUGGUCGAAACUGUAAAUGGCAGCCCAGAUGUGAUCUCCCUCAAACCCUGAUUUCAGUGAGUCUCUCUCUCACUGCACCCCCCAGGUCAUCUCCUCUGCACAGAAGCUCUUCAGCCACGUUCUCAAACAGACUCGCUACCACAGCCACAUCUCCUUCCUCAGCACCUGCCUAAGGAACCGACUGAUCCCACACGGACUCCGAACUACAUUCCAACCAACAAAAUUUGGACCCAACCAGGACAACCUGUACCUACAACAAAUCCGAAGCCUCCAGCAACAGACCUCCCUCCGGAUCCUCCGCUCCACCCUUGCAGCCAUGCGACAACUACACGACGGCUGGAGGAGGAGCGCCUCAUCUUCCGCCUGGGAACCCUCCAACCACAAGCCUGCCAGUCUUUGCUCAACGGUAAAGAUUUGACUUGAGUCAGAAAGAUGUGGAUUCAGAUUCCACUUUGGAAAUCGGCCUUUCACUUCAGUAGUCAAACUGUGGAAGACUGCUGCCUUUCAGGCUCUGACCACGCUUUGAAACCUCCCUGUAAGGGACCAAUUUCGAUAUGGAUGUCUAGACAGUAAACAGCAGGAGCCUUUUAGAUCACCUGGCACUUCACAGAGAAGACUGAUCCUGGUUUCACCUCUUAUUUACUCUCCAUCAACAAUCAAUGGAGAGCCAUCAAGGAAAGGAAUCCUGAUUGUCUUGCUCCAACCCCAGCAAGUUGCAGUGCAGGCAAUCCAUUCACAAACAUAGGACAUGGAUGGAAACAAGCAUUAUGUACGAUGCAAGAGGCAGAACAACGUGAAGUCAAAUGGAAGUGUGUUCCUGUGGAUGUUGAAAAUAUGAGCAGCAAACCAUUGGAUCCCAGGAACAUGUUAGCAAUGUUAACUCACUGAAGAACAGCUAAACAUCCUAAUCUGACAUUUUGAAAGCUUUAGAUCCAGGAACUGCAAAUUCUGAAUUGUCAUGUCUUAUAUGUGUAUGUUGAGUAAUGCAAUAUUAGCCUAUAUGACAUGUAAUUCUGUGCUU